CAGGGAUCGAACCCGGGACUUUCUGCUCUCUGGGCAGAUGCAUUACCAGUAGAUCACAGAGGCGAUCUACAUUUUCAUCACCAAAGAAAAAGAGUUUUCCGAUGGAAAAGGUAGGUAGAAGGGAAAGCUAACACAAGAUCAUCAGGGCUCCAUCUAUGAUUUCACUGAUCCACAGGUCUGAUACGUCCCCAUGGUGAGAUUCAAUCCCAGGUACCAUCUUUUAACGUCUUUAGGUGUGAUGUGGUCGGGAAUCAAACCACUGAUGCUCUUCUCUGCAGGCAAACUAUCUAUCCACUAUCCAUGGAGGUGGUCAUUUGGAAAAAAUGAAACAAUUGGCUUAAACGCAAAGCAAAAUGACACUCAGUCGCCAGUCGUGUCAUAGUACAAAAUACAUGAUGCUGAUGGAAUGUGCAAGGAUAAGUGAUGUACUCUUGCAUUUGGGAUACAAUUGUGUGUUGUAUCCUCAUAUGCAUGUCCUGACUUUUCUUUAAUGAGGAUGAGAAAUAGCUUGAUUGUAGUUGACCCUCAUGGAUCCGGUUUAGACAGAUGUUUAUAGGACACAACAACUACGUUCAGGAAACUGUUUACAGUAGCAUGCCAAUGGAUCAUGGGUAGAAGGUCUCAGCAGAUGUGGGAUGUAAACCCAACACUAGGAACGAACACGCCCACGUGUUGAUUCAGACUGUCCUGACCUCACGCAGUGUCUGCAACUUCAUUCUGUGCCACCAUCGGCGCAACAUCACCGACAACAGAUAGCAUUUACACAUCAUGACCCUGCUGCAACGCACAAAAACAGAUGUUUUCCGGAGUGAAAAAUGUCGCGUGACAUCUGUCAACAUCAGUGACCGCAUGGAGUGGAGGGACGCUCAUAUAGUGCGACACAAUUGUACGGCACGAUAUUCUGCCCAAGUCAUGCCUCUCUCGGUGUACUUUACAACCUUAAACAUGUCGAACAUGGUACU
Haliotis rufescens (red abalone) is the source of this 962-nucleotide long non-coding RNA. RefSeq lists it as uncharacterized. The record is from RefSeq and is a predicted model, not a curated record. The transcript is spliced from 3 exons. NCBI's taxonomy places the organism in Eukaryota, Metazoa, Mollusca, Gastropoda, Lepetellida, Haliotidae.